UAUACCCAGUUCUAAGGAAUAGCCUCGGGAAACUGAGAGUAAUACCUUAUACGCCCUUCGGGGAAAGAUUUAUCGGAAUUGGAUUAGCCCGCGUUAGAUUAGGUAGUUGGUGGGGUAAUGGCCUACCAAGCCUACGAUCUAUAGCUGGUUUGAGAGGAUGACCAGCAACACUGGGACUGAGACACGGCCCAGAUUCCUACGGGAGGCAGCAGUGGGGAAUCUUGGACAAUGGGCGAAAGUGAUCCAGCCAUGCCGCGUGAGUGACGAAGGCCCUAGGGUCGUAAAGCUCUUUCAACUGUGAAGAUAAUGACGGUAGCAGUAGAAGAAACCCCGGCUAACUCCGUGCCAGCAGCCGCGGUAAUACGGAGGGGGUUAGCGUUGUUCGGAAUUACUGGGCGUAAAGCGCACGUAGGCGGACUAUUAAGUCAGGGGUGAAAUCCCGGGGCUCAACCCCGAACUGCCUUUGAUACUGGUAGUCUUGAGUUCGAGAGAGGUGAGUGGAAUUCCGAGUGUAGAGGUGAAAUUCGUAGAUAUUCGGAGGAACACCAGUGGCGAAGGGGCUCACUGGCUCGAUACUGACGCUGAGGUGCGAAAGUGUGGGGAGCAAACAGGAUUAGAUACCCUGGUAGUCCACACCGUAAACGAUGAAUGCCAGACGUCGGGUAGCAUGCUAUUCGGUGUCACACCUAACGGAUUAAGCGUUCCGCCUGGGGAGUACGGUCGCAAGAUUAAAACUCAAAGGAAUUGACGGGGGCCC
This 757-nucleotide ribosomal RNA is filed under the name uncultured bacterium. RNAcentral's name for it is "bacterial SSU rRNA". It matches the Rfam family "Bacterial small subunit ribosomal RNA", at positions 125 to 922 of the family's 1533-position model. The record is from RNAcentral.